This is a non-coding RNA of Bactrocera oleae (olive fruit fly), 1504 nucleotides long. The record is from RefSeq and is a predicted model, not a curated record. NCBI's taxonomy places the organism in Eukaryota, Metazoa, Arthropoda, Insecta, Diptera, Tephritidae.
GGGAAGUUUUCUUUUCAUAUUGCUCGUCGUUAUGCGCUUUUUCUGGCGGUGGGAAUUUCCCUUUUAUUGGCUGCUUGUCGCAUAGGCUGCGAUGCUGGCGAGUGCUGAUGCUGCGUUUCAGUAUGAAUCGGGACACACGCUAAGACGGUAACGCCAGCCAAGCGCAUUCUACACAAGCAAUUAGUGUGUGCGUGUGUGUAUGCUCUACAGAGUUGUUGUGGUAAAUGCGCGCCGCGUUCGUUCGUCCUGUCGCUCGUCGCGCGCUCGCUCGCUUGUUCGUUGUUUGACCGCUCGCUGGACCACCCAAUCGAAUUGAUGACGGACCGCAUGUGCAUAUAAACAAAUAACGGUUGUUUGAGGUGUGUGUUAUUUUGUGGCGGCACGCACUUAAAUCGUUGAAUUUUGUGGCAUGUGGUAAGUGUGUUGGUGUAAACGCUUUCUUCGCCAUAUAUGUGUGUGUCUGUGCGUGCGCUUUUCAAGUUUGUAGAACAAAUACCCUUGCAUGUGGUGUUGCAAGUAAACAAAAUUUACGAAAGUGAGCAAAUACAAAGUGGAAAUUUCCACAUUUUUUGCUGUGAAAAACUACUCAGAAAUGACGAAGAAAAAAAUAUUUUUUAAAAAUUUUGUAUUUCCAACAAAAACAAAUUGCGUAAAAAGUUUAGAAACGACUUCCUUGUAGCAGCUGUGGCACAAACAAACGGCAACAACAACGAUAGCGCGCGUGCAUAUUUCCGCCAUGCAACGCACAAUUUGUGCUCACUGAAACGCAUUUUCAACAUUUUUGACAUUCACACUUUGUUCGCCAAUCGUUCUGCAGCGCUGUGUUUUUCCCCCAAAUAAAUGCAUGGAUGUUACGUAUACGCCAUGGCUGCUCGUCUCGUUUCGUUGCCUUUGCAGUAUGCAAUGAUAGUUUUGGCAGCAGCCAGCAAGUCUGUGCGAAUUCGCAAUGUUUUUGUUACACUUGGUGCCAAUAAAAGGAAAACAAUAAUAACAACAACAACAAGUGAAGUUGUUUGUGCGAAAAUAUAAAAAAAGACGCAAAAUUUGUUAAGAGUUACCAACGCUUUUAUCAAGAUAAUUAUCAUGAAAAUGAGUGCAAAUUGCAAGAUAAAACAAUGAAAACCAAUUCUAUUAAAAUCCCAUUUGAGGGCCUUGAAUGCCAUGCUAUUCGACAAUUACAAAUGCAAAUGCACACACAUAUUUACCUUGCCGUUGAGACAAUGAAUUAAAGGCGAAGCACGAAAAUCACACUGUCAAGGCGACAGCGAACGAAAUCACACGCAUAUUUGGCGAAAAACAAAAGAAAAAAUUUUGCAAAAACACAAAAACAGAAAUAGAAAAUUUUCGAGACACAAAAAAAGUAGAAUAAUAAAACCUCUUAAAAGUGCACACAUGUCUGGGUAUGCAUAAAGGGUGUAUCGUUAAAUGAGGCGCGCGUAGGCCCAGCAUUGUUAACACGCGCUGAUGAAUGGCAUGUGAUCGAGGAAUAGGAGAAUAGCGUAGG